Molecule: transfer RNA, 70 nt
Filed under: Camelus bactrianus (Bactrian camel)
Lineage: Eukaryota; Metazoa; Chordata; Mammalia; Artiodactyla; Camelidae
Also listed under: 3 other names
Rfam family: tRNA
About the family: Transfer RNA (tRNA) molecules are approximately 80 nucleotides in length. Their secondary structure includes four short double-helical elements and three loops (D, anti-codon, and T loops). Further hydrogen bonds mediate the characteristic L-shaped molecular structure. tRNAs have two regions of fundamental functional importance: the anti-codon, which is responsible for specific mRNA codon recognition, and the 3' end, to which the tRNAs corresponding amino acid is attached (by aminoacyl-tRNA synthetases). tRNAs cope with the degeneracy of the genetic code in two manners: having more than one tRNA (with a specific anti-codon) for a particular amino acid; and 'wobble' base-pairing, i.e. permitting non-standard base-pairing at the 3rd anti-codon position.
Source: Rfam by way of RNAcentral
GGGGAUAGCUCAGUGGUAGAGCACAUGCUUAGCAUGCCUGAGGUCCUGGGUUCCACCCCUGGUAACUCCA